AUCUGGGCGGCGGAAUUCAAGACGGCUGGCGGGUCUCGCGCUCGUUCGGCCGUUUGAUAUUUCCGUCGCCGUGUCAGACGUCGCGACCUGUUUGUCGUCGGUCCUUGCUCGGAGGAAUUGCGAUCGAGUUCGUUGCGGGCGCGUUUCGGCGUGCUUCGCGGCGAAGACGCGACUCUCUGGCUGACGACGGACAGUAAGCAACGGUGUCCGGCGCCGUGUCUCGCACUCGGCGUCGGUGCCGGUCAGCGACGAUUUCUUCGGGCCUCUUUCCGACCCGUCUUGAAACACGGACCAAGGAGUCUAACAUGCGCGCGAGUCGCGGGGUUUCGAGCGUACCACGGUGCGCUCGUUACUUCCGAAACCCGUACGUUGAAGGCGUAAUGAAAGUGAAUAGGGAAGAUGGCGUUCCGAGUCCACGUACCGUGAUCGAGUAUCGCGGCCGGACGUCCGCACUCCCGGGGCGUCUCAAUGGUUCGCCACGGAUGCGGACGAUCGUCUUUCGGGGCGGUCGUCGGUCUGUGGCGGUCCGA
This 530-nucleotide ribosomal RNA is filed under the name Chionaspis americana. RNAcentral's name for it is "eukaryotic LSU rRNA". Lineage: Eukaryota; Metazoa; Arthropoda; Insecta; Hemiptera; Diaspididae. The record is from RNAcentral.